Molecule: non-coding RNA, 1115 nt
Organism: Callorhinus ursinus (northern fur seal)
Lineage: Eukaryota; Metazoa; Chordata; Mammalia; Carnivora; Otariidae
Source: RefSeq, a predicted model, not a curated record
CGGUCCACCUCCCAGCCAGGAACUCAGUGGAUCAGAGCUGAGGCUUUUCCUUCUGGGAAGGUUCCAGAUGGGUCUAGACAGGUUCAGAGAGUGGCCCAGAAGCAGGAGAACGGAAAUUGAGCUUUGCCUUCCCAGGAUUCCCAGAGCUGCUGUUUAACUUUGAGGAGUUGACUGGGUUCCGCCCUGCCUCUUGCAAGUCUGAACUCCCAGAAUGAUUAACCACUCGGUGCGGAGUCCCAGCCUCUGCCAGAAUCCGACCUACCCACCCUGUGUGUUCCAGGCAGGAGCUUGCCACACUGGACAACAAGGAUGAUGAAAUUUUUGUCCACUUGGCAAAUAUUUGCUGAGCACCCCUCUGUGUCGGGGACAGCCGGACAAUUCCAACCUUGUCGAACCAGCUGCACGGGAAUGUGAGCUCACUCCUUGGAUCGUUGCCACGAGGGUUCAUGGCCCGAAGCCCCCGCCCCACACACAGUGGACUGAAUCAUGAAUCAAUGUACUGAUUUGGUCCUGGUGCUUGGAAUCAGUUCUGCACAAGGCCCCAGAAGGUCUGCCUUUCAGAUCCUUCUGGGCGGGGCCUCGGUCAUCUAGUCUGAGAAAGGGGAGCAAAUUCUAGGGGUGAUGUCAGAUACUGAUGAAUUCGAAGCGCCAGACAGGAACUGUACAGAUCAGCAACUUAACUGACACCACCUUCACAAAUGACCAGUUGACCUUACCAGCAACGGGAUGAACUGACACGUGUCCUCCUCAUCGGAGGCAUGAGGACACGGCUCUGCUUCUGGGGGUUCCUGCCCAAAAUGCACACAAUGAGUGUAAUCAUGAGGAAGUAUCAGACAAACCCAAACCGAGGGCAUUCUACAAAAUAAACAGUCCAUUCUCCUCAAAAAUGGGAGCCAAAGAAAGACUGAAGAACUGUUCCAGAUCAGAAGAGUAAAGAGCCAUGACAACGGAAUGCGUUAUUUGCUGGAUGGAUCCUAAAGGACUUUUCCCCUUCUUUUGCUUAUAAAGGACAUUAGCAAGACAAAUGGAGAUUUGAAGAAAUCUGCAGAUCAGUUAAUGGUAUUGUACCGAUGCUCCUUUCCUGACGUUGGUAAUUGCACUGUGGUUAUUUAAAA